UUAAAUUGAAGAGUUUGAUCAUGGCUCAGAUUGAACGCUGGCGGCAGGCCUAACACAUGCAAGUCGAACGGUAACAGGAAGAAGCUUGCUUCUUUGCUGACGAGUGGCGGACGGGUGAGUAAUGUCUGGGAAACUGCCUGAUGGAGGGGGAUAACUACUGGAAACGGUAGCUAAUACCGCAUAACGUCGCAAGACCAAAGAG
This 202-nucleotide ribosomal RNA is filed under the name Escherichia coli. RNAcentral's name for it is "partial 16S ribosomal RNA". It matches the Rfam family "Bacterial small subunit ribosomal RNA", at positions 1 to 208 of the family's 1533-position model. The record is from RNAcentral. Lineage: Bacteria; Pseudomonadati; Pseudomonadota; Gammaproteobacteria; Enterobacterales; Enterobacteriaceae.